Molecule: ribosomal RNA, 301 nt
Filed under: uncultured bacterium
Lineage: Bacteria
Description: partial 16S ribosomal RNA
Rfam family: Bacterial small subunit ribosomal RNA
Source: RNAcentral
CAGUCGCCGCGGUAAUACGGAGGGGGCUAGCGUUGUUCGGAAUUACUGGGCGUAACGCGCACGUAGGCGGCUUUGUAAGUUAGAGGUGAAAGCCUGGAGCUCAACUCCAGAAUUGCCUUUAAGACUGCAUCGCUUGAACGUCGGAGAGGUGAGUGGAAUUCCGAGUGUAGAGGUGAAAUUCGUAGAUAUUCGGAAGAACACCAGUGGCGAAGGCGGCUCACUGGACGACUGUUGACGCUGAGGUACGAAAGCGUGGGGAGCAAACAGGAUUAGAUCCCCAGUAGUCCCUGUCUCUUAUACA